RNAcentral lists this ribosomal RNA (474 nucleotides) under uncultured organism. Its description in RNAcentral is "partial 16S ribosomal RNA". It matches the Rfam family "Bacterial small subunit ribosomal RNA", at positions 335 to 800 of the family's 1533-position model. The record is from RNAcentral.
ACUCCUGCGGGAGGCAGCAGUGGGGAAUUUUGGACAAUGGGCGAAAGCCUGAUCCAGCAAUGCCGCGUGAGUGAAGAAGGCCUUCGGGUUGUAAAGCUCUUUUGUCAGGGAAGAAACGGUGAGAGCUAAUAUCUCUUGCUAAUGACGGUACCUGAAGAAUAAGCACCGGCUAACUACGUGCCAGCAGCCGCGGUAAUACGUAGGGUGCAAGCGUUAAUCGGAAUUACUGGGCGUAAAGCGUGCGCAGGCGGUUUUGUAAGUCUGAUGUGAAAUCCCCGGGCUCAACCUGGGAAUUGCAUUGGAGACUGGAAGGCUAGAAUCUGGCAGAGGGGGGUAGAAUUCCACGUGUAGCAGUGAAAUGCGUAGAUAUGUGGAGGAACACCGAUGGCGAAGGCAGCCCCCUGGGUCAAGAUUGACGCUCAUGCACGAAAGCGUGGGGAGCAAACAGGAUUAGAUACCCCAGUAGUCCCAUGA